UAGGGAAUCUUCCACAAUGGACGCAAGUCUGAUGGAGCAACGCCGCGUGAGUGAAGAAGGUUUUCGGACCGUAAAGCUCUGUUGUUGGUGAAGAAGGAUAGAGGUAGUAACUGGCCUUUAUUUGACGGUAAUCAACCAGAAAGUCACGGCUAACUACGUGCCAGCAGCCGCGGUAAUCGUAGGUGGCAAGCGUUGUCCGGAUUUAUUGGGCGUAAAGCGAGCGCAGGCGGAAGAAUAAGUCUGAUGUGAAAGCCCUCGGCUUAACCGAGGAAUUGCAUCGGAAACUGUUUUCUUGAGUGCAGAAGAGGAGAGUAGAACUCCAUGUGUAGCGGUGGAAUGCGUAGAUAUAUGGAAGAAUACCAGUGGCGAAGGCGGCUCUCUGGUCUGCAACUGACGCUGAGGCUCGAAAGCAUGGGUAGCGAACAGGAUUAGAUACCCUGGUAGUCCAUGCCGUAAACGACGAGUGCUAAGUGUUGGGAGGCUUCCGCCUCUCAGUGCUGCAGCUAACGCAUUAAGCACUCCGCCUGGGGGAGUACGACCGCAAGGUUGAAAC
This 553-nucleotide ribosomal RNA is filed under the name uncultured bacterium. RNAcentral's name for it is "partial 16S ribosomal RNA". It matches the Rfam family "Bacterial small subunit ribosomal RNA", at positions 355 to 900 of the family's 1533-position model. The record is from RNAcentral.